GAUGAACGCUGGCGGCGUGCCUAAUACAUGCAAGUCGAGCGAACGGACGAGAAGCUUGCUUUUCUGAUGUUAGCGGCGGACGGGUGAGUAACACGUGGAUAACCUACCUAUAAGACUGGGAUAACUUCGGGAAACCGGAGCUAAUACCGGAUAAUAUUUUGAACCGCAUGGUUCAAAAGUGAAAGACGGUCUUGCUGUCACUUAUAGAUGGAUCCGCGCUGCAUUAGCUAGUUGGUAAGGUAACGGCUUACCAAGGCAACGAUGCAUAGCCGACCUGAGAGGGUGAUCGGCCACACUGGAACUGAGACACGGUCCAGACUCCUACGGGAGGCAGCAGUAGGGAAUCUUCCGCAAUGGGCGAAAGCCUGACGGAGCAACGCCGCGUGAGUGAUGAAGGUCUUCGGAUCGUANAACUCUGUUAUUAGGGAAGAACAUAUGUGUAAGUAACUGUGCACAUCUUGACGGUACCUAAUCAGAAAGCCACGGCUAACUACGUGCCAGCAGCCGCGGUAAUACGUAGGUGGCAAGCGUUAUCCGGAAUUAUUGGGCGUAAAGGCGCGCGUAGCGGUUUUUUAAGUCUGAUGUGAAAGCCCACGGCUCAACCGUGGAGGGUCAUUGGAAACUGGAAAACUUGAGUGCAGAAGAGGAAAGUGGAAUUCCAUGUGUAGCGGUGAAAUGCGCAGAGAUAUGGAGGAACACCAGUGGCGAAGGCGACUUUCUGGUCUGUAACUGACGCUGAUGUGCGAAAGCGUGGAGAUCAAACAGGAUUAGAUACCCUGGUAGUCCACGCCGUAAACGAUGAGUGCUAAGUGUUAGGGGGUUUCCGCCCCUUAGUGCUGCAGCUAACGCAUUAAGCACUCCGCCUGGGGAGUACGACCGCAAGGUUGAAACUCAAAGGAAUUGACGGGGACCCGCACAAGCGGUGGAGCAUGUGGUUUAAUUCGAAGCAACGCGAAGAACCUUACCAAAUCUUGACAUCCUUUGACAACUCUAGAGAUAGAGCCUUCCCCUUCGGGGGACAAAGUGACAGGUGGUGCAUGGUUGUCGUCAGCUCGUGUCGUGAGAUGUUGGGUUAAGUCCCGCAACGAGCGCAACCCUUAAGCUUAGUUGCCAUCAUUAAGUUGGGCACUCUAAGUUGACUGCCGGUGACAAACCGGAGGAAGGUGGGGAUGACGUCAAAUCAUCAUGCCCCUUAUGAUUUGGGCUACACACGUGCUACAAUGGACAAUACAAAGGGCAGCGAAACCGUGAGGUCAAGCAAAUCCCAUAAAGUUGUUCUCAGUUCGGAUUGUAGUCUGCAACUCGACUACAUGAAGCUGGAAUCGCUAGUAAUCGUAGAUCAGCACGCCGCGGUGAAUACGUUCCCGGGCCU
RNAcentral lists this ribosomal RNA (1372 nucleotides) under uncultured bacterium. RNAcentral describes it as "bacterial SSU rRNA". It matches the Rfam family "Bacterial small subunit ribosomal RNA", at positions 28 to 1381 of the family's 1533-position model. The record is from RNAcentral.